This 2862-nucleotide long non-coding RNA is filed under the name Hordeum vulgare. RNAcentral describes it as "long non-coding RNA (HVUL_LNC014830)". Lineage: Eukaryota; Viridiplantae; Streptophyta; Magnoliopsida; Poales; Poaceae. The record is from RNAcentral.
GUAUAUCAUCUGUUGCCUCAGCUGCCAUUACAUGUUCUUCAGGAGCUGCCUCAUCUGCAUGAGCAACAUUGCCUCUUACAUCCUCGGUGAGCUCACUGAUGUUUACAUCAGCGAUCUCGUUGAUUGCUUCAGUUUUCUUGGCUUCAGUCUCCUUCACCUCUUCUGCCGACAGCUCAUUUGCUGAUAUGUUUUCUUCCACUUCAAUAGGUUCAGUAUUCUUGAUUUCUUCUAGGUCUAGCUCUUGUGCUCGUGGGAUAUCAACUGGUGCCUCAGUUGCUAUUACAUGCUCUUCAGGAGCAGCCUCAUCUGCAGGAGCAACAUUGCUUGUCACAUCCUCAGUGAGUUCGCUGAUGUUUGCAUCAGGGCUCUUGUUGAUUGCUUCAGUUUCCUUCACCACUUCUGCUUGCAGGCCACUUGCUGAUCUAUUUUCUUCCACCUCAACUGGUUCAACACUCUUGAUCUCUUCUAGUUCCGGCUCCUGUGCCUGUGGUAUAUCAAAUGUUGUCUCAGCUACUGUUACAUGCUCUGCAUGAGGUUCCUCGUCUGCAGGCACAACGUUGCUUUUCACAUCCUCAUUGAGCUCACUGAUGUUUGCAUCAGUCCUUUUGCUGAUUGCUUCAGUUUCCUUCACCUCUUCUUCUGGCAGGUCACCUGCUUCAGUAUUCUUGAUCUCUUCUAGCUCUGGCUCUUGUGCAUGUGGUAUAUCGACUGUUGUCUCAGCUACUGUUACAUGUUCUUUAUGAGCUGCCUCAUCUGUAAGAGCAAUGUUGCAUUUCAUAUCUUCAGUAAGCUCACUGAUGUUUGCAUCAGUGCUCUCAUUGAUUGCUUCAGUGUCCUUCACCUCUUCUGCCGGUAUGUCACUCGCUGAUGUGUUUUCUUCCACCUCAACAGGUUCAGUAUUCUCGAUCUCUUCUAGUUCUGGUUCUUGUGCUCGUGGAAUAUUAACUGUUCCCUCAGUUGCUAUUAUAUGCUCUUCAUGAGCUGCCUCGUCUGCAGGAUUGACACUGCUUGUCACAUCCUCAAUGAGCUCGCUGAUGUUUGCAUCAAUGCUCUCGUUGAUUGCUUCAGUUUCCUUCACCUCUUCUGCUGGCAAGUUACCUGCUGAUCUGUUCUCCUCCACCUCAACAGGUUCAACAUUCUCAAGAUCCUUUAGUUCCGGCGCUUGUGCUUGUGGUAUAUCAACCGUUGCCUCAGCUGCUAUUACAUGUUCUUCAGGAGCUGCCUCUUCUGCAGGAGUAACAUUGCUUUUCAUAUCCUCAGUGAGCUCACUAAUGCUUGCAUCAGUGCUCUCAUUGAUUGCUUCAGUGUCCUUCACCUUUUCUGCUGGCAGGUCACUUGCUGGUAUGUUUUCUUCCACCUUAACAGGUCUAGUAUUCUGGAUCUCUUCUACUUCUGGCUCUUGUGCUUGUGGUAUAUCGACUGUAUUAUCAGCUACCGUUACAUGUUCUUCAGGAGCUGCCUCGUCUGCAAGAGCAACAUUGCUUUUCACAUCUUCAGUAAGCUCAUUGUUGUUUGCAUCAGUGCUCUCGUUGAUUGCUUCAGUCUCCACGGCUUCACUAUCUUUCACCUCUUCUGCUGGCAGAUCAUUUUCUGAUACAUAUGCUUCCACUUCAGCAGGUUCAGUGUUCUUGGUCUCUUCUAGUUCUGGCUCUUGUGUUCGUGGUAUAUCAACUGUUGCGGCAGUUGCUAUUACAUGUUCUUCAGGAGCUGCCUCGUCUGCACACACGAGAUUGCUUUUCACAUCCUCAGUAAGCUUACUGAUGUUUGCAUCAAUGCUCUCGUUGAAUGCUUCAGUUUCCUUGGCUUCAGUGUCCUUCAUCUCUUCUGCCGGCAUGUCACUAGCUGAUAUGUUUUCUUUCACUUCAACAGGUUCAAUAUUCUUGAUCUCUUCUAGUUCCGGCUCUUGUGCUUGUGCUAUAUCAACUGUUGCCUCAGUUGCUAUUACAUGUUCUUCAGGAGCAGCCUCGUCUGCAAGAGCAACGUUACUUUCCACAUCCUCAGCGAUCUCACUGAAGUUUGCAUCAGUGCUCCCAUUGGUUGCUUCAGUUUCCUUGGCUUCAUUGCCGUUCACCUCUUCUGCCGGCAGGUCACUCGCUGAUAUGUUUUCUUCCACCUCAACAGGUUCAGUAUUCUUGAUCUCUUCUACUUCUGGCUCUUGUGCAUGUGGUAUAUCAACUGUAUCAUCAGCUACUGUUACAUGUUCUUCAGGAGCUGCUUCGUCUGCAAGAGCAACAAUGUUUUUCACAUCUUCAGUGAGCUCACUGUUGUUUGUGUUAGUGCUCUCGUUGAUUGUUUCAGUCUCCAUGGCUUCAGUAUCCUUCACCUCUUCUGCUGGCAGAUCAUUUGCUGAUAUGUUUUCUGCCACUUCAGCAGGUUCAGUAUUCUUGGUCUCUUCUAGUUCUGGCUCUUGUGCUUCUGGUAUAUCAACUGUUGCCUCAGGUGCCAUUACAUGCUCUUCAGGAGCUACCUCCUCUGUAAGGGCAACAUUGUUUUGCACAUCUUCAAUGAGAUCGCUAAUGUUUGCGUCACUGCUCUCAUUGUUUGCUUCAGUUUCCCCCAUCUCUUCUGCAGGCAGGUCGCUUGCUGAUCUAGUUUCUUCCACCUCAACAGGUUCAGUAUUCUUGACCUCUUCUAGUUUCGGCUCUUGUGCUUGUGGUACAUCAACUGUUCUCUCAGCUACUGUUACAUGUUCAUCAUGAGCUGCCUCGUCUGUAAGAGAAACAUUGCUUUGCACAUCUUCAGUGAGCUCACUGUUGUUUGCAUCAGUGCUGUCGUUGAUUGCUUCUGUUUCCACGGUGUCAGUAUCCUUCACAUUUUUCGCUGGCAGAUCACUUGCUGAUGUGUUCCCUUCCACUUCAGCAG